UAGGGAAUCUUCGGCAAUGGGGGCAACCCUGACCGAGCAACGCCGCGUGAGUGAAGAAGGUUUUCGGAUCGUAAAGCUCUGUUGUAAGUCAAGAACGAGUGUGAGAGUGGAAAGUUCACACUGUGACGGUAGCUUACCAGAAAGGGACGGCUAACUACGUGCCAGCAGCCGCGGUAAUACGUAGGUCCCGAGCGUUGUCCGGAUUUAUUGGGCGUAAAGCGAGCGCAGGCGGUUUGAUAAGUCUGAAGUUAAAGGCUGUGGCUCAACCAUAGUUCGCUUUGGAAACUGUCAAACUUGAGUGCAGAAGGGGAGAGUGGAAUUCCAUGUGUAGCGGUGAAAUGCGUAGAUAUAUGGAGGAACACCGGUGGCGAAAGCGGCUCUCUGGUCUGUAACUGACGCUGAGGCUCGAAAGCGUGGGGAGCGAACAGGAUUAGAUACCCUGGUAGUCCACGCCGUAAACGAUGAGUGCUAGGUGUUGGAUCCUUUCCAGGAUUCAGUGCCGCAGCUAACGCAUUAAGCACUCCGCCUGGGGAGUACGACCGCAAGGUUG
RNAcentral lists this ribosomal RNA (550 nucleotides) under uncultured bacterium. RNAcentral describes it as "bacterial SSU rRNA". It matches the Rfam family "Bacterial small subunit ribosomal RNA", at positions 355 to 896 of the family's 1533-position model. The record is from RNAcentral.